GACGAACGCUGGCGGCGUGCUUAACACAUGCAAGUCGAACGGAAAGGCCCUGCUUUUGUGGGGUGCUCGAGUGGCGAACGGGUGAGUAACACGUGAGUAACCUGCCCUUGACUUUGGGAUAACUUCAGGAAACUGGGGCUAAUACCGGAUAGGAGCUCCUGCUGCAUGGUGGUGGUUGGAAAGUUUCGGCGGUUGGGGAUGGACUCGCGGCUUAUCAGCUUGUUGGUGGGGUAGUGGCUUACCAAGGCUUUGACGGGUAGCCGGCCUGAGAGGGUGACCGGCCACAUUGGGACUGAGAUACGGACCAGAAUGCAACGGGAGGCAGCAGUGGGGAAUAUUGCACAAUGGGCGGAAGCGUGAUGCAGCAACGCCGCGUGCGGGAUGACGGCCUUCGGGUUGUAAACCGAUUUGGACUGUGACGAAGCGUGAGUGACGGUAAUGGGUAAAGAAGCACCGGCUAACUACGUG
This 468-nucleotide ribosomal RNA is filed under the name uncultured bacterium. RNAcentral's name for it is "partial 16S ribosomal RNA". It matches the Rfam family "Bacterial small subunit ribosomal RNA", at positions 28 to 507 of the family's 1533-position model. The record is from RNAcentral.